RNAcentral lists this small RNA (67 nucleotides) under Xanthomonas oryzae. RNAcentral's name for it is "sX9 sRNA". It matches the Rfam family "Xanthomonas sRNA sX9". Lineage: Bacteria; Pseudomonadati; Pseudomonadota; Gammaproteobacteria; Lysobacterales; Lysobacteraceae. The record is from RNAcentral.
AUCGUGAACAGGUUCUGAGCGCGCCGUCCGCGCCCACCUGACCGCUGCUCGCUACGUUUUGUUAGCC